Long non-coding RNA from Vicia villosa (hairy vetch), 1127 nucleotides. RefSeq lists it as uncharacterized. The transcript is spliced from 4 exons. NCBI's taxonomy places the organism in Eukaryota, Viridiplantae, Streptophyta, Magnoliopsida, Fabales, Fabaceae. The record is from RefSeq and is a predicted model, not a curated record.
UCAUUUGUCAUUUCAAUAUGGUAGCAUGUGAUCGAUGAUGGUGCCAUGUUAGAAGCAAGCAAAAUACAAAUACAAUAAUAAAUAGAAGACGUUUGACGUUUCAAUGUAUGGAAAAACCAAAUUCAUUACAUGAUUAUGACAGUUAAUAAUAAUAACUAACAAUCACGAUAAAUCCAGAAUUGUUACUAAUAGAAAAUAAUUAACAAUAAUAAUAAAAUUAUAAGAAUUAAUUAACAAUAAUAAUUAAUUAGUAAUAAUCUGUUUUCAUUUUUUCAACAACUCAAAAUGAGUUAGUCCAUUGAAAAUUAUUUCGGUUUAACAUUUGUUUUCGCUACACGAAAAAGCUUGUGAUGGCAAUAGGUACAAAGCUUUUGUGAUGGUAACAUGUUGUUUCCACUUUAGCACUUGAAGUCUGGCACCACCAGCGUCCAUCUACCAGUACACAAGUAAAGCCGCGCGACGGCCUUUUUUUGGUUCAAUAAACCAGAUAUACUGCUAUGGUUGCAAUGUCUAUCAGCAAUGGUUUGGUUCAUGACUGAAUUUUCACGCAUUCUUGCUGAUUUUGAUGAGGGAUUUAUGGUGCCAUGGCUGUUGCGGGGAGUUUUAUAUGUUCGAUUACCAUAAUUGACUCUCUUGGAGGUUUUCAUCUCUCAAUAGAUGUUGUUCUUGAAGGACUUGGAUAUGCAGUUCCUCCAACUCUUCUUUUUAUACUUGAUGUAAGUUCUUUUGAUCUGCCUAUCGACUUUAAGAGAUUGAAAUUUUCUACAUUUUAAAGGUACUUACUGUUUUUCCUACACACGUGAUUAGUCUUUUGUAAAUACAAGAUAUAGUAAUGUGUAAUCUCUUUAAACUGCUGGAGAGCUGUCUCACAUAUUGGAACCAGCCUAGAAAAGUUGAAAGAACGACCUCAGAUAGGGAAGGUUGUAAGCAUCUUUCUCAAUAUGGACGAGUCUGGUGCAUGAGCAAACGAGUUCAUAUAUAAACAGAUUGAACUGCAAGAACUUAAAGUUCAUCUCAAAGGUGGAGUUUGUAGCUAGAAGUACCAGUCUUUUUUGUGAACUUGGAAUUUAUUGUACAACUAUACUUGGAUAGUAACAAAAUAUAUAGAGUAUAAUGUUUCUGGUAGC